RNAcentral lists this unclassified non-coding RNA (351 nucleotides) under Marasmius sp. RNAcentral's name for it is "partial contains 5.8S ribosomal RNA, internal transcribed spacer 2, and large subunit ribosomal RNA". Lineage: Eukaryota; Fungi; Basidiomycota; Agaricomycetes; Agaricales; Marasmiaceae. The record is from RNAcentral.
CGCACCUUGCGCCUCUUGGUAUUCCGAGAGGCAUGCCUGUUUGAGCGUCAUUAAAUUCUCAACCUCAAAAGCUUUUUUGUUCUUGAGGCUUGGAUGUGGAGGUUGCCGGCUCUAUUAGGUGUCGGCUCUUCUUAAAUACAUUAGUGGAAACUGUUUGUAACCCACAUUGGUGUGAUAAUUAUCAGCGCUAUUGUGGCUACAAGCUCAUGUAGAGUUCGAUUGGAGAGUGCAUUCGUGCUCUUUCUGUUACUUUUGAGCUACAUUGAGUUGGUAUCUGCUUCAAACCGUCCAUUUUGGACAACUUUUGACUACUUUGGCCUCAAAUCAGGUAGGACUACCCGCUGAACUUAA